Molecule: ribosomal RNA, 497 nt
Filed under: uncultured bacterium
Lineage: Bacteria
Description: partial 16S ribosomal RNA
Rfam family: Bacterial small subunit ribosomal RNA
Source: RNAcentral
GAUGAACGCUGGUGGCGUGCCUAAUACAUGCAAGUCGAGCGAACAGACGAGGAGCUUGCUCCUCUGACGUUAGCGGCGGACGGGUGAGUAACACGUGGAUAACCUACCUAUAAGACUGGGAUAACUUCGGGAAACCGGAGCUAAUACCGGAUAAUAUAUUGAACCGCAUGGUUCAAUAGUGAAAGACGGUUUUGCUGUCACUUAUAGAUGGAUCCGCGCCGCAUUAGCUAGUUGGUAAGGUAACGGCUUACCAAGGCAACGAUGCGUAGCCGACCUGAGAGGGUGAUCGGCCACACUGGAACUGAGACACGGUCCAGACUCCUACGGGAGGCAGCAGUAGGGAAUCUUCCGCAAAGGGCGAAAGCCUGACGGAGCAACGCCGCGUGAGUGAUGAAGGUCUUCGGGUCGUAAAACUCUGUUAUUAGGGAAGAACAAAUGUGUAAGUAACUAUGCACGUCUUGACGGUACCUACUCAGAAAGCCACGGCUAACUACGUG